GGGAGUGUAGCUCAGUGGUAAGGUAUCUGCCUAGCAAACAUAAGGCUCUGGGUUGGAUCCCCAGCACUAUCA
Molecule: transfer RNA, 72 nt
Filed under: Ictidomys tridecemlineatus (thirteen-lined ground squirrel)
Lineage: Eukaryota; Metazoa; Chordata; Mammalia; Rodentia; Sciuridae
Description: Spermophilus tridecemlineatus (thirteen-lined ground squirrel) tRNA
Rfam family: tRNA
About the family: Transfer RNA (tRNA) molecules are approximately 80 nucleotides in length. Their secondary structure includes four short double-helical elements and three loops (D, anti-codon, and T loops).
Source: Rfam by way of RNAcentral